CCUACGGGAGGCAGCAGUGAGGAAUAUUGGUCAAUGGGCGCGAGGCUGAACCAGCCAAGUAGCGUGAAGGAUGACUGCCCUACGGGUUGUAAACUUCUUUUAUAAAGGAAUAAAGUGAGGCACGUGUGCCUUUUUGUAUGUACUUUAUGAAUAAGGAUCGGCUAACUCCGUGCCAGCAGCGGCGGUAAUACGGGGGUUCCGAGCGUUAUCCGGAUUUAUUGGGUUUAAGGGGAGCGUAGAUGGGUUGUUAAGUCAGUUGUGAAAGUUUGCGGCUCAACCGUAAAAUUGCAAUUGAUACUGGCAGUCUUGAGUACAGUUGCGGUUGGCGGAAUUCGUGGUGUAGCGGUGAAAUGCUUAGAUAUCACGAAGAACUCCGAUUGCGAAGGCAGCUUACUAAACUGCCACUGACAUUGAUGCUCGAAAGUGUGGGUAUCAAACAGGAUUAGAUACCCGUGUAGUC
This 460-nucleotide ribosomal RNA is filed under the name uncultured bacterium. RNAcentral describes it as "partial 16S ribosomal RNA". It matches the Rfam family "Bacterial small subunit ribosomal RNA", at positions 338 to 795 of the family's 1533-position model. The record is from RNAcentral.